CUCAGAGUCUCUUCUCCAGGACACAAGAGUAAAAAGCUGAUUUCUGGAUUAUAAGGACCAUUUGAAAGGAGGAAAAGCCAUGGUACAUCUCUGGAAUGGAUGGUAAGAAAGUCCUCAAAUGUAAGUUGAAAGUUAGCAGAGAUCUGGUUUUGGUGAUAGUGCCUCCAAAAUACCUUGAAUGGGUGGGUGGAAAUGCACUGGAAUAGAGAUGCAAGGGAAAGCUUUAUUGCCAUAACAACUGCUGGAUGAUGACUCUACACAACUCUGAGGCUAUUUAGUUAAAAUUAAGAAUGCUGCUAUCUUUUCUCCUUAUCUUUCUUUAUAUUUGCUAUUGCUCUGAGUUUAUUUCUCUUUGGAUAUCAUGGAUAUUGCAGUGCCUGCUAUUUGGCCAAGGGAAGAGAUUUCAGGGGGCUCUUUUUAUUCUCUGGGUUGUACGUAAGAUGGGCAGAAAUGCAGUCAGUGGUUGUUCCCUUUUCUCACAGAAGUGAUCCUGGCAGAUGCUUGUGGUAAUUUUUCCCUUGUUAUAUUGACACUCCUAUGUGAUGUUCUCUGGGGCUUUCUUAUGUUGCUGCUUCUACAGUCUUACAAAAAUUGCCAUUUUUUCUCUGCAGUGUACAUUUUUCUUUAUUAUCUACAGUUUUGCACCUUCUGUAUUAUCCAGGAGAAUUUGGCCUUUGCAGUUGUCCUGGAAAUUAAACCCAAUGCAGCACCAUCAGAUCCACAAGAAAAAGUGUCUGUUCUUGCAUUUCUGUUUUGAACAAAAGGUGGAUGUUUCAGAAGCUGUUCAACUUAUUCACUGUCUGCACUUUAAAAUCCAAACUAAUCUGUACAUUACAAACCCUGAACUCCAGCAUUUCUGAGAGCUGUGAAUUACUGUUUCCACUUGUGCUAAACUUCUGGAAAUAGAAAACAGAAAUUUACAUUCACUUUUUGGGAAUGAUCAUGGAGGAUCCACCUUUUCCCAUCCCGUCGUGUGGUCAGCACCCUGCCAGAUGGGAGUUUCUGUCAUAUUUCUGCCAUCCUAUUCCCUAACCCUUUGUGGAGCUACCUUUUUGUGUUCAGCUGAUGAUAUAAUUUUCAAAUACAAAGGACACCCUCUGAUCUCUGUUUUUCAGAGCCAGCACCUUUGGUUCUGGUGCCCUGAUUAGAGAUGUGCCCUUUGCAGUGAUUUGGAGCUGUGAAAUGGCUCCUGUCGCUCCACUCUGAGGCUCUGGGUAUCUCACAGGAUAAAUCUGGAAGAGCUGUAGAGCGCAGAUGAUUUUUGGCAAGUAUCAUUUUAUCAUCAAAAUUUUAUUUUUGGGUUGCUCUUCAGCUGCCGCCUUCUGUGAAGGAGAAAGACGCCCAUUUGAUGGCUUUUAUGAUGUAUUCCCG
This 1371-nucleotide long non-coding RNA is filed under the name Chloebia gouldiae (Gouldian finch). RNAcentral's name for it is "Erythrura gouldiae (Gouldian finch) lncRNA (ENSEGOG00005004230.1)". Lineage: Eukaryota; Metazoa; Chordata; Aves; Passeriformes; Passeridae. The record is from RNAcentral.